Molecule: long non-coding RNA, 126 nt
Organism: Amblyraja radiata (thorny skate)
Lineage: Eukaryota; Metazoa; Chordata; Chondrichthyes; Rajiformes; Rajidae
Exons: 3
Source: RefSeq, a predicted model, not a curated record
AAGGCGAAGGGGAGGGAACUGGAGGUGGGAAAAGGCCAGACCAAAUCAGGGCCAGCAACAGAUAACCAAGGAAGGAUGGAGCCCAUAAUAGCCCAUUGUUGGCUGGGGACAAGAGGAUAAGGAAGG